Molecule: transfer RNA, 70 nt
Filed under: Candidatus Parvibacillus calidus
Lineage: Bacteria; Pseudomonadati; Bacteroidota; Saprospiria; Saprospirales; Saprospiraceae
Description: tRNA-Met
Rfam family: tRNA
About the family: Transfer RNA (tRNA) molecules are approximately 80 nucleotides in length.
Source: RNAcentral
GGCGAGGUAGCUCAGCUGGUUAGAGCGUAUGAUUCAUAAUCAUAAGGUCGGGGUUCAAGCCCCCUCGCUA